UGAGGAAUAUUGGUCAAUGGGCGCGAGCCUGAACCAGCCAAGUAGCGUGAAGGAUGAAGGUCCUACGGAUUGUAAACUUCUUUUAUAAGGGAAUAAAGUCACCCACGUGUGGGUGUUUGUAUGUACCUUAUGAAUAAGCAUCGGCUAACUCCGUGCCAGCAGCCGCGGUAAUACGGAGGAUGCGGGCGUUAUCCGGAUUUAUUGGGUUUAAAGGGAGCGUAGACGGGUCGUUAAGUCAGCUGUGAAAGUUUGGGGCUCAACCUUAAAAUUGCAGUUGAUACUGGCGUCCUUGAGUACGGUUGAGGCAGGCGGAAUUCGUGGUGUAGCGGUGAAAUGCUUAGAUAUCACGAAGAACCCCGAUUGCGAAGGCAGCCUGCUAAACCGCCACUGACGUUGAGGCUCGAAAGUGUGGGUAUCAAACAGGAUUAGAUACCCUGGUAGUCCACACGGUAAACGAUGGAUACUCGCUGUUGGCGAUAGACUGUCAGCGGCUUAGCGAAAGCGUUAAGUAUCCCACCUGGGGAGUACGCCGGCAACGGUGAAACUCAAAGGAAUUGACGGGGGCCCGCACAAGCGGAGGAACAUGUGGUUUAAUUCGAUGAUACGCGAGGAACCUUACCCGGGCUUGAAUUGCAGACGAAUUGCUUGGAAACAGGCAAGCCGCAAGGCGUCUGUGAAGGUGCUGCAUGGUUGUCGUCAGCUCGUGCCGUGAGGUGUCGGCUUAAGUGCCAUAACGAGCGCAACCCUCGUGUCCAGUUACUAGCAGGUUAUGCUGAGGACUCUGGACAGACUGCCAUCGUAAGAUGUGAGGAAGGUGGGGAUGACGUCAAAUCAGCACGGCCCUUACGUCCGGGGCUACACACGUGUUACAAUGGGGGGUACAGCAGGCAGCUACCGGGCGACCGGAUGCCAAUCCCGAAAGCCUCUCUCAGUUCGGACUGGAGUCUGCAACCCGACUCCACGAAGCUGGAUUCGCUAGUAAUCGCGCAUCAGCCACGGCGCGGUGAAUACGUUCCC
RNAcentral lists this ribosomal RNA (1017 nucleotides) under uncultured bacterium. Its description in RNAcentral is "bacterial SSU rRNA". It matches the Rfam family "Bacterial small subunit ribosomal RNA", at positions 355 to 1375 of the family's 1533-position model. The record is from RNAcentral.